UACGGAGGGUGCAAGCGUUGUCCGGAUUUAUUGGGUUUAAAGGGUGCGUAGGUGGGACCUAAAGUCUGGUUUGAAAGCUGGUGGCUCAACCAUCAGAUGUGGCUGGAAACUGAGGUUCUUGAAUGGCGUAGAGGUAACCGGAAUGGGUCAUGUAGCGGUGAAAUGCAUAGAUAUGACCCGGAACACCGAUUGCGAAGGCAGGCUACUGGGUGUCGAUUGACACUGAGGCACGAGAGCAUGGGUAGCAAACAGG
This 253-nucleotide ribosomal RNA is filed under the name uncultured bacterium. RNAcentral's name for it is "partial 16S ribosomal RNA". It matches the Rfam family "Bacterial small subunit ribosomal RNA", at positions 524 to 776 of the family's 1533-position model. The record is from RNAcentral.